This 375-nucleotide ribosomal RNA is filed under the name Triticum aestivum (bread wheat). RNAcentral's name for it is "partial small subunit ribosomal RNA". The record is from RNAcentral. Lineage: Eukaryota; Viridiplantae; Streptophyta; Magnoliopsida; Poales; Poaceae.
AUGUGUCAUCUACUUCUGGUGCGUCAUCGUCCUCAUCGCAGACGACUUAUGGUCUUCGGGCUCGGCCUCAUCCUCCCCCUGACCGCUAUUCUCCUAGUCAAUAUGGUCUUUCGGCUGUACUUGAGCCUACCUCUUAUCGCGAUGUUUGUUAUUCAUCCUGAAUGGCAAUUUGCAAUGGCAGAGGAGCUUGCUGCUCUUGAGCGCACCGGCACAUGGGAUCUUGUUUCUCUUCCUCCCGGUGUUCGUCCCAUCACUUGUAAGUGGAUCUGCAAGGUUAAGACUCGCUCCGAUGGUUCUCUUGAGCGUUACAAAGCUCGUCUUGUGGCUCGUGGCUUUCAGCAGGAGCAUGGUCGUGAUUACGAUGAGACAUUUUGA